RNAcentral lists this ribosomal RNA (306 nucleotides) under uncultured bacterium. RNAcentral describes it as "partial 16S ribosomal RNA". It matches the Rfam family "Bacterial small subunit ribosomal RNA", at positions 507 to 809 of the family's 1533-position model. The record is from RNAcentral.
GACAGCAGCCGCCGCGGGAAAACGGAGGGUGCAAGCGUUAAUCGGAAUUACUGGGCGUAAAGCGCACGCAGGCGGUCUGUCAAGUCAGAUGUGAAAUCCCCGGGCUUAACCUGGGAACUGCAUUUGAAACUGGCAGGCUAGAGUCUUGUAGAGGGGGGUAGAAUUCCAGGUGUAGCGGUGAAAUGCGUAGAGAUCUGGAGGAAUACCGGUGGCGAAGGCGGCCCCCUGGACAAAGACUGACGCUCAGGUGCGAAAGCGUGGGGAGCAAACAGGAUUAGAUACCCCGGUAGUCCCUGUCUCUUAUAA